Molecule: ribosomal RNA, 261 nt
Filed under: uncultured archaeon
Lineage: Archaea
Description: partial 16S ribosomal RNA
Rfam family: Archaeal small subunit ribosomal RNA
Source: RNAcentral
UAGCCGUAAACGAUACUCGCUAGGUGUCGGCCACGGUGCGACCGUUGUCGGUGCCGUAGGGAAGCCGUGAAGCGAGCCACCUGGGAAGUACGGCCGCAAGGCUGAAACUUAAAGGAAUUGGCGGGGGAGCACCACAACGGGUGGAGCUUGCGGUUUAAUUGGAUUCAACGCCGGAAAUCUUACCGGGACCGACAGCAACAUGAAGGCCAGGCUGAAGACUUUGCCGGAUUAGCUGAGAGGAGGUGCAUGGCGUAGACGUCU